GGGAGUUGCUCAGUUUGUAUAGCGCAACUCUGCCAAAGUUGAGGGUGAGAGUUCGAGACUCUUCUCCCCCC
Molecule: transfer RNA, 71 nt
Filed under: Duganella lactea
Lineage: Bacteria; Pseudomonadati; Pseudomonadota; Betaproteobacteria; Burkholderiales; Oxalobacteraceae
Description: tRNA-Gly
Rfam family: tRNA
About the family: Transfer RNA (tRNA) molecules are approximately 80 nucleotides in length.
Source: RNAcentral